AAAAGAAGAUUGGAAACAAAGAAUGAAGCUGAGGAUGAUAAUGAAAUGCAAAUGCCUAAACAUUCGAACAUAUAAUAAAAUAAACAGUAGAGCUAGCCUGAAAAGGAAAGGCAAAGGGGAGAGGAACAUGAAAGGAGAAUUUAGGGAAGUUUAGAUUAGUCACAAAAGUAUUGUGGUUUUAGACAAGCAACCACAAAGCAUUUCCUGACCUGUAGGAACUUCCUUCCUCCUGCAGUUUUACAGAAGCUUGUCUCCUUCUACCCCAACAACUGAAGCCACACACUCUUACUUAGGCAUAUCCAGCUUAAUAGACCUGAGUGUCUGCGUUUGGAAAUAUGUUGCUGUUUAAUCCAGGAAGCUUUGUCAGGCACUCUGCACCAUUACUUGGGCUCGAUGCACCAUCAGAGAUGCUACAGAAGAGGCUGGGAGGGUAAAUAGACACGAGGGCAUUCAGCACGCAGUGCCCUGGCAGAGACGAGGGGGGUGGCAUCAUCAGUGUGAUAUCGAGAAAACCAGCCUGACAAAAGGAAUCAGAAAGCAAAUGGACCUUGCAAUGGAGUCUCUUCAAUAAUCUGGAGGGAAAGUAACUGCAAAGUGCACCGAAAUAGCAGCUGAUAGGUGAACAGAGAGCAUGACUUUGCAAAUGUGUGUUACAUUUAACACAAUACAAGCAAACUCUGGAAAAUUACUAGAAGUAAUGUGCAGUUGUUAGACUCUGAUUGUUGCAAUUUAAAGAAAAUACAGGUCACUGAGAGAUUCUGAGAAGACAGUCACAUCUUUUACUUAUACUGAGAGCUAAAAUGUUUUAAAUGUAUUUAAUGUACAGUUAAAAGAAUCUGUGGAAAAAUGGAAGUUAUAUUUCUGUGAUGUGUUAUGUGGGAGGAGGGUGAUAUGAAGUGGGAAGUAAAGCCAGCAAAAGCCUGUCAUUUUUAUGUGAACAGGCAGCAAUUUUAAUAGACUUUAUCGCGCCCCCCAUGUGAGAAGGGGACCCACCGGGGUGGGGGAAUGUGGGAGGCUUUUAGGCCACUUUGCUCCUUUAAGUGUGUCAAUUUUGUCCUGCUUUCUCCCAUCCUCCCCUCUCGGCUCAUCUUUCCAUCUACUUCCACCCCAGGUUUGCUCAUGCAUGUUAUCACUUAGCUGGCAGCAGAAGGAGGCUACAGAGGAGGUCUUAAACCCACUCCCCAGGAGGCACCCAACCCCUUCGCAGAUUCAUCCUCACUUUUACUGGCAUCACUCAACAGCUGUCCUCCUCUCUCUCUCUGUUGCAACCAUUACGAUAUUAUCCAUUUCCAGGAUCCAGUAUGUGUGUGCAGUAAUGAAUGAUUUCUUCUCUCUUCUCUCCUGCACACUGACAGAUAGGCGGGUGUUUUCUGAGCUGGAGAAACUCCGAUAAGCGAAGCUGACUUCAAACAGGUGUGACAGUUUUGGGUUUCUCCCAUCACCACCUGACUCCCCUCCUCUCUCACCAGUGAAAACCAGAUGGCUGCAUCCUCAGCGCCAUCCUCACUCCUAAACCUUCACCUGCUACCAGAGAUCCAUAAUACACCCAAAACUAACAGUGCCACUUGAGGACAUAUCCCAUCACUGAGUGACAUUCACACAGUUUCUGCUCUGAUGACGAGAAACCUUGGGGCGCCAUCCUCAAGCUAUAAAACUUUUUGGAAAGCAGUCACAAAUUAGUGUGAGAGGGCAUCUUAAAACAGAAAAUAGACUGUAAAGAAUUUCAUGACUAACAACUGUGGAUUGCUGCAGACAAAUAUAGAUUGUUCUGUAUUGCUGGUUUUGCCCAAAUGAAAUGACUGAUAUUGAUCAAUUUUAAACUCCUGCUGGUUGCUAAAGAGGCUUACUGUUAUUUUAAUUGUCAAUGAUUCUGAUGGCACUUAUUACUUUUUCACAUUUUGUCACACUGCAGUAUCAUAUGCAUCUUAUUGCCAAUUUGUAUGUGAUAGAGAAAGAAAGUAUAGUAAAGAAAGAAAUCCAGUUUGCAGUUUAACACGAUGGUGUUUACCACAAGCGCUUACAGAAGUCAGCUAAUUAGUAAAUACAGUCUAAACUUUUGGCUUACACACAUAAAAAUGACACUAAAUGGCCACUUUAACAUACCAUUCCCAGGGUAAAGCUUGGUGGUGGCAGCAUCAUGCUGUGGGGAUGGUUUUCUUUAGCAGGAACAGCGAAGCUGGUCAGAGUCGAAUGGAAGAUGGAUGGAGCUAAAUACAGAGCAAUCCUGGACUAGUCGUUAAAAGCUGCAAAGAUCUUAGAAUUCGAGCAGCUACAAUCACCUGGUUUAGGUUAAAGCAUUUAUAUGUGUUAGACUGUCCCAGUCAAAGUCCAGACAUAAAUCUAAAUGAGAAUUUGUGGUAAAAUUUGGAAAUUGCAGUUCACAGAGCUCUCUGGCUCAUCUGACUGAGCUUUAGUAUCACAAAAUCAUGUUACCAAGUUAAAAAAACAACAACUUUUAACUCAAAGGAAAUUUCAAUGAACAUUUGGUGCAUUAUUCAGACCUCCACCAUAGGGCCUCACCUAAUUGAUAAGCUAUCACUGAUACUACCAGGACACAUAUUCUAUUAUGUUAAUAAACCAUAAUAAUCUCACCUCUAUUGUGUGCAUACUUAAAACAGUUGGGGAACUUUCAUGUUCCAGCAGGCAUAACUGAAAACAAAUUAUGAUACUAUUGAACCUCAGAAGACUUGAAGACCCUACAGAGCCCAUCCAAGUUCUAGUUGAUUUGUAUUGUCAUGCUGCAGCAUUAGUUAAAUGUAAAGAGCCAAAAUUAGUGCUGUUCUUCUUAUAUUUUGUAGACGGUGGACUGUCUUGAAAUACAAAAAUCUUGUGUUGGGCAAUAGAAUAAAAAACAUAGGGGCUA
Molecule: long non-coding RNA, 2863 nt
Organism: Girardinichthys multiradiatus
Lineage: Eukaryota; Metazoa; Chordata; Actinopteri; Cyprinodontiformes; Goodeidae
Exons: 2
Source: RefSeq, a predicted model, not a curated record